AGCAGUAUUGAACUGAAGAGUUUGAUCAUGGCUCAGAUUGAACGCUGGCGGCAGGCCUAACACAUGCAAGUCGAGCGGAUGAAGGGAGCUUGCUCCUGGAUUCAGCGGCGGACGGGUGAGUAAUGCCUAGGAAUCUGCCUGGUAGUGGGGGAUAACGUCCGGAAACGGGCGCUAAUACCGCAUA
RNAcentral lists this ribosomal RNA (184 nucleotides) under Pseudomonas aeruginosa. Its description in RNAcentral is "partial 16S ribosomal RNA". It matches the Rfam family "Bacterial small subunit ribosomal RNA", at positions 1 to 175 of the family's 1533-position model. The record is from RNAcentral. Lineage: Bacteria; Pseudomonadati; Pseudomonadota; Gammaproteobacteria; Pseudomonadales; Pseudomonadaceae.